AUGGCACAACAUAAUGUCAACUUGGUCUGUUGGAACGUGCGCGGCCUCAACUCCCCUGCCCGUCGCGACGCGGUGCGCGACACCGUCCGCGAUUGCAAAGCCACAAUUGUGUGUCUUCAGCUUGAGAUUGUCGACGAUGUGUUGAUCACUAGCAUGUUAGGCCCUUCCUUUGCCGCCAACUACUUCAUCCUUCUGGCUGCUGGCGGGGGGGGGGGGAUGAUAAUGGCUGUCUCGGAUACUUUCUUCAAGUUGUCGGACUUCCAUGCUACACCGGGAUCAAUAUCCGCAACUAUCACCAUGUUGGCCGAGGGCACUCAAUGGACCCUCUCCUGUGUCUACGGCCAAGGAGAGCAAGAGAAGCUGCUCUUCAUCAGUGAGCUCAGGCUAAAUUUUUUAGUCAAGCCGAGCUGGCUAAUUCUUGGUGAUUUCAACCUUUUGACCAAAGCGGCCGACAAGAACAACCGAACCAUCAAUCGACGCCUUAUUGGCAGUUUCUGUGGCGCUCUCGACCACCUCCACCUCUGUCUGGACGCAAGUUCACUUGGUCAAAUGCUCAAGACACCCCGGUGCUAA
This 573-nucleotide ribosomal RNA is filed under the name Triticum aestivum (bread wheat). RNAcentral describes it as "partial small subunit ribosomal RNA". Lineage: Eukaryota; Viridiplantae; Streptophyta; Magnoliopsida; Poales; Poaceae. The record is from RNAcentral.